RNAcentral lists this long non-coding RNA (510 nucleotides) under Panax ginseng (ginseng). Its description in RNAcentral is "long non-coding RNA (PGIN_LNC016823)". The record is from RNAcentral. Lineage: Eukaryota; Viridiplantae; Streptophyta; Magnoliopsida; Apiales; Araliaceae.
UAAUAUUUCGAGCCCCAAAACGUGCAAUUAUCGAAACUAUAUUUUCCUAUAAAUAGAAGCUUAUUCUUCUUUCAUUCUCACCAAUUCACUAAGACUCACAAGAGCAAUUAUAGAGAGAGAAGUUAUAGAGAGAAAGAAGAAGAGAAGUCUGCUACUUCACUAUUCUAGUAUCCAGUCUUCUUCUGAGGUAAGAGAUAUUAUUUUUUUCAGUAUUCAUAAGGAAUACAAUUUUCUUCCAUACUCUGUAGUAUGUGAGUAAUAUUAUUUUGUCAUGUAUUUCUGAUUGUACCCUCAUUUUGUUAAAGUAUUGCUUCUAUACUCCGUGAAAUUAGUAUAAUAUCCUUAAUAUUUGUCUUUCAUCUAGUAUCGUUUCACAAGGAUAUUUUCUGCACAUUCUUGUUAAAUUUUAAGUUUUUCAUGCCGGAGUACUGUUCAUGAGUAGUAUUCAUUUUUACGGUACUAUUCACAAAAUACUAUUCACGGGGUACUAUUCACAAAGUACUAUUCACG